This 234-nucleotide unclassified non-coding RNA is filed under the name uncultured fungus. RNAcentral's name for it is "sequence contains ITS1". Lineage: Eukaryota; Fungi. The record is from RNAcentral.
GUAUUGUUUGCACGUUAUGCAAAUUAUACAUUCCUUUACAUUCAGAGUGUGUAAAAAUACUCGAGUGCCAGUCUGACCAAAGUCAAACUCCCAAACCAGGGUAAGGCACUCAGAGUCAUGGAUGCACAGGUGUGUGGAUUUGCGACCCUAACGUGCACAUGUGUGACCACCAGCACCGGAAGGGCCGACUUUGAAGAUUCAUUAAUGAUCCUUCCGCAGGUUCACCUACGGAAA